This 86-nucleotide transfer RNA is filed under the name Micromonospora costi. Its description in RNAcentral is "tRNA-Leu". It matches the Rfam family "tRNA". From Rfam's summary of the family: Transfer RNA (tRNA) molecules are approximately 80 nucleotides in length. The record is from RNAcentral. Lineage: Bacteria; Bacillati; Actinomycetota; Actinomycetes; Micromonosporales; Micromonosporaceae.
GCGGGAGUGGCGAAACGGCAGACGCGCAGGAUUUAGGUUCCUGUGUCCGAAAGGACGUGGGGGUUCAAGUCCCCUCUCCCGUACCA